AUUUCUUGGGCCGCUCCCGAGGCAUAUGGAGGUUCCCAGGCUAGGGGUUGAAUCGGAGCUGUAGCCACCGGCCUACGCCAGAGCCACAGCAACUCGGGAUCCGAGCCGCGUCUGCAACCUACACCACAGCUCACGGCAACGCCAGAUUGUUAACCCACUGCACAAGGCCAGGGAUCGAACCCGCAACCUCAUGGUUCCUAGUCAGAUUCGUUAACCACUGCGCCACGACGGGAACUCCUGGCCCUGUUCUAAACGCUUUCCUUGUAGUAACUUACUUAAAUCUCACUGCUUUUGACCUGGCCUCCAGAGACCCCUUGGUCCCACAGCAGCUCACCUCCCUGCGGCCUUGAGAAAGGGACGGGCUGUAAUAGGAACGACGCCCCCCAAGUUGUGCCAUCCAAAACCUGUCCGAUGGGACAUGGCCCCCUGCUGAGCUGGGCCAUGCGACCCCCUUGCUCUGUACAGGACUUACGUGAAGCCUCUCUCUCACAAAUGAGGCUGCCCCUUUCUCUUCCAGAGUCUGUGGGCCAUCUGCACAUUUUAUCAUUCAUUAAUCGACAUGUGGUCAAAAGCUCGUUUCUCUUCCGUGCCGUUGCCUCCCUGGGGGUCACCGUCGUCGUCGCAGAGCUGAGGGUGUGCUGCCCAGGGAGAGGCUGACGGGGAAUUGAGGGACCUGAGGACGUGGUGGGUUCCACGCAGCGCCCACGGUCUUCGGUUGGUAGUAGCCCUUGUUUGGGGUUUGCAGUACGUGUGCACCGGCGUGAGGUGCCCUGGGCUUUUAGGGAACAUGUAAUUACAGUGUGGUUUAUCUCAUAUAACAAUUAGGCUGAGCAUCAGAGAAGAUAAAGGGAGAAGGGCCCCAGGCACGAGGCCGGGACGCCACCAUCCGCGUACACAAGCCGUCCAGCCCCGAAGAAAACACUGCCAGGCUCAAGCUACUGCCUACAUUGGACAGAGGAGGGCAUGCAUCCUUGGAAAUUGCUCCUGAGUCCAAACCCAGCUCAGGGGUGAGAACUAUGGUCUUUUUGUUUGACAGCACACAUCAGAAACCUUAUCUUCCCUCUGAACCAGUAAGACACCCCUCGGAAUUGACUCCAAUGAAAGAAUCAGAGAUUGGCCUAAAGAACAUGUAGACGGAUGUUCGCUGCAACUUUAAUCUCUGAUAUUAUCAGUCUUCUGCUGCUGCUGCUUUUUUUAGGGCCGCACCUGUGGCGUAUGAAGUUCCCAGGCUAGGGGUCGAAUCGGAGCUGUAGCUGCCGGCCUACACCGCAGCCACAGCAACGCAGGAUCCGAGCCGGGUCUGUGACCUACACCAGAGCUCACAGCAACACCAGAUCCUAACCCACUGAGCCACGAUGGGAACCCCCUGUAUUAUCAUUAGUUAUAAUUGAGAAUGGAAAAAAAUAACAUCUUCAGUGACCACCGGGGAAAUAACGAGGUAAACAUGGACAGAUCCAAAUAACAGGAAAACGGGCAGCCACUGAUAAUCAAGUGCGCAAAAUACCUGUGACACGGGAAAAUGUUCCUGAUGUGCCCAGAGGAAAAUAAAGGAGUGGGCAACUACGUAUCUAGUAAAACUCAUUCCUAAGCAGACGUGUGGAUACACACAGAAAACAGCGGAAGGAAAUGCGCCAAAGCAUUAACCGGAGCUGUGGCCAGGUGGUCGGAAAGCGGGAGAUUUUCUUUCUCCCUUCUUUAUACACAGGGAUCUUUUUUCAAAUAUAUUAUAAUGAACAUAUGUUAUUUUAAUACUCAGAGACAAGUAUCGCUUGUCUCAAAUCCUGCUCAGGCCAUAGCAAACUCAACCUCGACCCACUGAGUGAGGCCAGGGAUCGAACCUGCGUCCUCGUGGAUACUAGUGGGUUUCUCAACCUGCUGAGCCACAGUGGGAAUCCAGACACACACUUUCUUCAACCACCAUCACUCAGCCAAUUUCUGCAUCUCGGAAACAACGCCGGCAGCUCUGCUGACUGAGGUGCAGGGGGCGGCGGGCAGCCCCACCCAGACAGCAGGUGUCAAGAGCGAGUCCUCACUAACAGGUGGGCCGGCCCUUCCCAACCAUCUGGCAGGACGGCUCAGACCCGAGGAAACAGAAGCCCAGGGCUGCAAAGCCAGCGAGAGAGGAUGGGAAGGGCGCAGGUGCAUGCAGGUGCAUGAUCACGAGAAGCUCAAAGCUCUCCGCACGAGGCCCUCCUUGGGAUCUCGCUGCCUGUUCACACAGCUCCUCCCACGUCGCAAAGUCCAUCCACAUCCAGACCUCACAGCCACCUGCACACAAGGCAUAAUGCUGUUCCUUCCUUCAGGUGUGCUCUGGACUCUGGUAAGGGCAGCUGGUGCACUGCGGGGCUCACAGAGUCCUCUGGAGGCCAGGUCGAGGAGGAGGCCAUGGGCCACACCCCUGCUGUCCCAGGGGACUCCCCAAGGCCCCUCACUGCUGUUCCAUCACGCCUGCAACCCGCAGAUGCUCACAAAAGUCUCUGGAAGGAACUGCCUUUAUCAGAGCCGAUUCUUAACCACACCAGAGACUGACUCUCCUUAUUGGGAAGAACUCCUGACUCAUACUUGAACCAAUUCAAAUGCCAUAUUCCUGAUUUGAUUCGAUGGACUUUUGCCUUUCAACCAUUUCUCAAAGGUGACUUUUCCAUAAAGGAUGAAGAAUGGCUUUCCCUGGGGAAUCCUAGGAACAGACCACAGGCUCUGAAGGCAUUUCUGGGAGAUACUUUAAGGCAGUGGCUCUCUACCUUGGCUGCCUCUGAAGCCAAACAGGAAGAUUGAAAACAAAAUACAGACCCCAAACCUCACUCUCAGAAAUUCGGGUGUAGGAAGUCUAAGGCACAGGCUGGUGGAGAGAUUUUUGCUCCCCAGGUGAUUCUAAUGCAUAACCAGGGCAGGAACCCCUGCUCAGCGCCGGGACCAGAAACAUACCUACUGCGCUCCCCGCCCCAGUGGGGUCAGAUGCCUACCUGGACGUUAUAAAUUUUGGAAAUUUGCACAGCCUUCCUCGUCAUAGCUGACCACGAAUGGGUGGCUUGCCCAAGAUCUCAGAGCUGGAAGUACCAGCUCGGCCUCCUUCAAUACUUGUUGAUGGAGUUCCCGUCGUGGCACAGUGGUUAACGAACCAGACUCGUAUCCAUGAGGAUGCAAGUUCAAUCCCUGCCCUUGCCCAGUGGGUUAAGGAUCAGGCAUUGCUGUGAGCUGUGGUGCAGGUCGCAGACAAGGCUUGGAUCCUGGGUUGCUGUGGCUGUGGCGUAGGGCGGCAGCUACAGCUCCGGUCCGACCCCUAGCCUGGGGACCUCCAUAGGCUGGGGGUACGGCCCUAAAAAAGACCAAAACAAUGAAUUUUAAAAAUGAUACUUACUGAGCACCUGUGUCCUGGGCAAUCUCCUAACAAUCAGAAGAUUUUACAAAUCUCUGGAUUUGGGGCCACCGCCACGCAACACUUGCGCAAGGCAGGGCCUACUUGUCGCUGGGUCGGUGGUGCCCUUCCUUGGACCCGCAGGCCCUCUUGGGGCUACCCCUUCUCCAUCCCACGUGGCCUGUUGACUUGACCGAUCUGGCCAUGCCACAUCCACUUUUGUGAGGCCUGCAUUACCCCACGGAUGGAGGGGAAGAACACCCACUUAGAUGCCUAUCUCAUCCCUACUGGAAAAAUCAGUCUUUGAUUUCAUCUAAAGAAACGGGAGCCAGACCCGAUACACAACUGUGGAAAUCCAGCCGAUAAUGACAGAAGGGAAGCACCACACGGACCGUGUCUCUUCAUCUCAAACCGCCUUCAGACGCCCAACCCACUGGCGUCAGAAACCUCCAGGGCCCUUCCCCUUCUGUCUCCACCCAACCCGGUUGCUCGACCAGGUCCUGAAAAUAGUCUGGAUAUCAAACCCAGAUCGGUGGCCACCAGGCAGGCAACACAGAAACCCCUGAGCACAGGAAGCACUGUUCCUACUGCCUUUCAGAAUGAUCCGUGGAGACGCCGCAUUAAAAGGGAAAAUGCCAUCCCACCGUAGAAUGAGACUAUCAAGGGGCAGAACGCAACCCAGCGCAUACACACACACGGGUGGGAACCAUGAAAUACGUUCACGUACAUCCAGCGAGGGCCAGAAGGGAAUGCGAAGGAUCCACGUAAUUUUCGUUUUGUUAAUUAGCCUCUUUCAAAAAAAAGGGCCUUCAUGUUACCAGUUCUCUAAAAAAUGAUGCAAAAAAAUUACUCGCAACUUCCUCAUCUGCAAGAUGGAAUAACAGUGGUACCUGGAGUGCAGGAAUCUGAGAGAACUGAAAGGGUUCGUUGAGAUGCAGCACUGGCACGGAGCCAAGGACGCAAUCUUUGCGAUUUUUGUUAGUAUUCAGGCUCCGAGGCAAUUUAUCGUUCCCUCCCCUCUUCCUUUGCCCAAAAGAAGCAAAUGAAGUGGGUCUACGGACUGCCCGUGACCUCUGCCCAUGACCUCUGCCCAUGACCUUUGCCCAUGAAAUAAAGAUGACCACAUUCAGCUGUGACAUUCUUUCUAAGUAUCAACUCAUGGUUUUGAAUGCUUCCGUGACGGCAGCGUCUAUUACAGAGAAGGUAUUUUGGUCCAAUUCUCUGGCUGGAAGAGCUCUACGGAGGUGCAUGUUUAACCGUCUGUCUGCUUUUCUCUCUCCCUGCAAAGGCUUAUAAACUCCAGGAUGGGAAACGUGCCUAAUUCCUUCCUGCCCCUGCAGUGCCCAGCCCAGUAGCUGGAAGUCACUAAACAUUCACAGUAUUGUGAUAUGAAUAUAAAUCAAGAGAAAGGUGUCCUUAUUCCCACCAGUGGGAUGGUCCUGCAAGCAAUAAAUCUUGGUGCCCUAGUGACAGGCUGUGGCACUGCCUGUCAUUCUCCCGGCUGCCAGCUCACCACCGAAUCCCUUUCCAGGAACCGCCUUCAGGUAAGGGAGCUGUAUUACCCAAAAGGCAUAUCCCCAAAGGGCACCGCACAUCCUCCCCAAGGGCAGCCUGAAUCCAGUAGCACAGGGACAAAGGCCUGGCCCCUUGGCCUCCACGCACGCCCGCUCUGAAGCCCCAUGUCAGCUCCGGAAUUAACUCUGUACAAUUGACCCUUACUGCAACUGCGUCAUAGCCUAACUUUCCCCUCGGCCCAAGCCUGCUCCCCUCACUUCCCAGGAAGGCUUCUGCACACAGAUCUCAUCUCUGAAUCUGUUUCCUGGGAAACCUGGCCUGUGACAGUUGGUACCAGGAUUAAGACCUGGGAGAUGGGAGCAGGUUGGCUCUUCCUGGAAGUUUCUUAUCCCCCUCCGGCACGACUCACUGCCUGACUUUAUUCACGGAUCAUCUCAAAUGCACCAUCUCAGAAAACACGGUCCCGUCUAAUGUUUUCCUGCCCAAACCCAUUGCGAGCAUGUUACGGGCACUCUAUCGCCCGUGCCAUCAUUAAAAUCUGAAAUUGUCUUGCUCUUGCCCCUUGCUUUCUUACGUGUUCAUGGUCAUUCCCCUGCUCGCCCACCAGGAUGCAGGCUCCAGAGGACAGAUACCUUGCCAGGCCGCUCACCACUACCUGUCCAGCUUUUAAGCAUCACUCAGCACAAUGUAAGCCCUUAAGAAACACCUGCUGGAUGAAUGAAUGAGAAGAUGUCCAUUACAUUCAUAAUGGAAAGUACUCGCCUGAGCAUAAGGAGCCCUUACCUCCAGCUCUGUUUCUGCCGUUUAACCACCUGUGUGACCUUAGGCAGGUGCCUUGACCUCUCUGAGUCUGAGUUUUCUCAUCGGCAGAAUGAGGUCGUUGAAUGCGGUCAUCACUGGGGGUUCUGACAGCUCGAGUACAUGAUAAUCUCACAUGAUUAUGCCCCUAGAAAUUACCCAGUCUAUAAACUACAUGGGAAUCAUACAAUGUUUGGGCUGGAAACGAGCUUCCCAGAGCAUUUCGCAACCUCCAGUGAGCAUGGGCUUUCAGAUGCCCAUUUCGUGAUUAUAUAAAUGCUGGAAAAACUGUCAUGGGAGACCCUGCGUUUAGGGGUAUAUUUAACCGAGGGGUCAUCAACGCUUCAAACACCUUGAAAUAACCAUUCUCCUCUUUCCAAAAAACCCCAUGAAAAGCGUGAAGUCUCUUCCUCAAGCCCUAUGAGGAAAUGAUAAGAGGAAAUGGUGGGGGCGCCUGCCCAAGCGCCAGCACGAAUCUGUGCUCCCGGGAAGCCCUGGGAGCAGCGCCUGGCCCCGAGCAAGCCCUCAGGCCAUGCUGGCGCUGAAUGGCCCCCUCUCGCAAGGCAGACAAGUCAUUUGGAGGGGGGGACUCUGAUUACGCACCUUGGAGUUACAGAGACUGAAGCCGGGAGAGAUCGCAUAAUGGACCACACACGUCCUGAGCCGACGAGGGGAGGAGCCGGGGUUGGGUCUGCACCGUCCCCACCCAGAGCUUGCCGUUUAGUCUCCGCACGGUGCUGUCCCCACAGGAGGUUUACUCUCUUGCUUAAACAUGGGAAUCCUGGCUUGGGGACAAAUCGGCCCUCGAUUCUCAGCUGGAGGCGAGGGGUCUGGUCGAGAGCCGAGGGUCUCGGACAUUUCCGCGCACACACACCCGCGGAGCGAUCUCCUCAAAAUGCGGUUCUCCCGCACAAGAUCCUGGGCCGGGCCUGAAACGGGCCUUUCCUCCCUGCUUCCAGGUGCUGCUGGUGCCGCCGGCCCGAGGAUCAGACUUUGAGGAGCAAUGGUGCAGAAGAGGGCACUCCCGCUAGAAGUCACGCACUAGCUGCUGGCCCGGCCCUGGCACAGCCUGGCGAGUGGACCAUGGCCAAGCUGCCCCUCACCUCUCCAGCACCCAGCGCCCUUGCCGGCAAUAUGGAGCUGACUCCACCCUUGUACUUACUGCCCGGGGUGUUCACGGCGACCAAACCACAGGGUGUGUGUAAAAAGCACAUCCUAAAACAGAAAACUCAUCAGCAUCGGGGGGGCAGCCCACUGGCCUAGAGCCCUCUGGGAUGUGGGUCCUUGAGAGGCCUCCAGCACAGUGCCUGUCAUACAGUAGGCAAUUACUAGUGUUCCAUCAGAGAGCCGACCACGUAAAAGUCCUGUCGAAUUUAAUCUUCCCAAGAUCUCUGAUUCACAUUUUCAUUUCCUACCACACUGCAUACCACGCCCCCGCCACCCACACAGUCAGUGCGGGGCCCUGGAUUCAAACUGAGAUCUGUCUGAUGGAUAAACCUCCAAAAUACACAAACAGCUCAUGCAGCUUAAAUAAAUAAAGGGCGGAAGAUCUAAACAGACGUUCCUCCAAAGAGGACAUACAGAUGGCCAAUAAGCACAUGAAAAGAUGCUCAGCAUUGCUAAUUAUUACAGAAAUGCACAUCAAAACUACCAUGAGGUACCACCUCACACCAGUCAGGAUCCAUCACCAAAAAGUCUACAAACAAUAAAUGCUAGAGAGGGUGGAGAGAAAAGGGAACCCUCUGACACUGUUGGUGGGAGUGCAAGCUGGUACAACCACUGUGGAGGUUCCUCAAAAAAAUGAAAUAUAGAACUACCAUAUGAUCCAGCAAUCCCACUCCUGAGCACAUAUCCAUGGAAAACCAUAAUUCAAAAAGACGCAUGCACCUCAAUUUUCAUCAAAGCACCACGUACCAGAGCCAAGACAUGGCAGCAACCUAAAUAUCCAUGGACAGAGGAAUGGAUAAAGGUGUGGUACAUAUAUACAGUGGAAUAUUACUCACCCAUAAAAAAGAAUAAAAUAAUGCCAUUUGCAGCAACAUGGAUGGACUUAAAGAUUAUCAUACUAAGUCAGACAGAGAAAGAUAAACAAAUAUCAUGUGAUAUAACCGAAGGGGAAAGAGGGAUGGGAGGGAUAAAAUACGAUGACUUAGGGGUUAACAUGCAAACACCACCAUAUACAAAAUAAUUAGGGCCUACCAUAGAGAACGGAGAAAUCUACUAAAUGCCAUGGAAUAACCCAUAUGGGCAGAGUCUGAAAAGGAGUGCAGUAUGUACAUGUGUAACCGAAUCACUUCGCUGUACACCUGACACUAACGCAUUGUAAAUCAACUCUACUCUAAUACAAAAUAAAAAAUUCAUUUAAAAAGCCCUGCGAUCUGUCUGGUUCCCAAACCAAGGCCGCCUGUACCCUUCAUUCCU
RNAcentral lists this long non-coding RNA (8089 nucleotides) under Sus scrofa (pig). RNAcentral's name for it is "lncRNA (ENSSSCG00040006008.1)". Lineage: Eukaryota; Metazoa; Chordata; Mammalia; Artiodactyla; Suidae. The record is from RNAcentral.